UCAGGAUGAACGCUAGCGGCAGGCUUAACACAUGCAAGGUCGAGGGGCAUCGUGGAGUAGCAAUACUCUGACGGCGACCGGCGAGAGGGUGAGUAACGCGUGAGCAACAUGCCCGAUAGUGGAGGAUAGUCGAUGGAAACGUCGCGUAAUACUCCGUAACAUAAGGGACCGCAUGAUCCUUUAUUAAUAGAUUUAUCGCUAUCGGAUUGGCUCGCGUACCAUUAGUUAGUUGGCGGGGUAACGGCCCGCCAAGGCGACGAUGGUUAGGGGUUCUGAGAGGAAGGUCCCCCACAUUGGAACUGAGACACGGUCCAGACUCCUACGGGAGGCAGCAGUGAGGAAUAUUGGACAAUGGCCGGAAGGCUGAUCCAGCCAUGCCGCGUGCGGGAAAGACGGCCCUAUGGGUUGUAAACCGCUUUUGUUGGGGAGCAAUAAGGUCCACGUGUGGAUUGAUGAGAGUACCCAGCGAAUAAGCAUCGGCUAACUCCGUGCCAGCAGCUGC
RNAcentral lists this ribosomal RNA (502 nucleotides) under uncultured bacterium. Its description in RNAcentral is "bacterial SSU rRNA". It matches the Rfam family "Bacterial small subunit ribosomal RNA", at positions 24 to 518 of the family's 1533-position model. The record is from RNAcentral.